GGCGGGAUAGCUCAGCCGGUUAGAGCGCACGCUUCAUAAGCGUGAGGUCGAGAGUUCGAGUCUCUCUCCCGCUACCA
This 77-nucleotide transfer RNA is filed under the name Candidatus Magasanikiibacteriota bacterium. RNAcentral describes it as "Candidatus Magasanikbacteria bacterium tRNA-Met". It matches the Rfam family "tRNA". From Rfam's summary of the family: Transfer RNA (tRNA) molecules are approximately 80 nucleotides in length. The record is from RNAcentral. Lineage: Bacteria; Candidatus Magasanikiibacteriota.